Molecule: non-coding RNA, 135 nt
Organism: Triticum aestivum (bread wheat)
Lineage: Eukaryota; Viridiplantae; Streptophyta; Magnoliopsida; Poales; Poaceae
Source: Rfam
GAUAUACUCCCUCCGUCCCAAAAUUUUUGUCUUAGAUUUGUUUAGAUAAGGAUGUACCUAAUACUAAAAUAUGAGUUGAUACAUUCGUAUUUAGACAAAUCUAAAAUAUGAAUUUUGGGACGGAGGGAGUAUAAG